GAUGAAGAACGUAGCGAAAUGCGAUAAGUAGUGUGAAUUGCAGAAUUCCGUGAAUCAUCGAGUCUUUGAACGCACAUUGCGCCCCCUGGUAUUCCGGGGGGCAUGCCUGUCCGAGCGUCAUUGCUGCCCUCAAGCACGGCUUGUGUGUUGGGCCCCCGUCCCCCCCUCCCGGGGGACGGGCCCGAAAGGCAGCGGCGGCACCGCGUCCGGUCCUCGAGCGUAUGGGGCUUUGUCACCCGCUCUGUAGGCCCGGCCGGCGCCUGCCGACCACCAUCAAUCUUUUUUCAGGUUGACCUCGGAUCAGGUAGGGAUACCCGCUGAACUUAAGCAUAUCAAUAAGCGGAGGA
RNAcentral lists this unclassified non-coding RNA (347 nucleotides) under soil metagenome. Its description in RNAcentral is "partial contains 5.8S ribosomal RNA, internal transcribed spacer 2, and large subunit ribosomal RNA". The stretch from base 1 to 120 matches the Rfam family "5.8S ribosomal RNA", at positions 35 to 154 of the family's 154-position model. The record is from RNAcentral.